Molecule: non-coding RNA, 693 nt
Organism: Paramuricea clavata
Lineage: Eukaryota; Metazoa; Cnidaria; Anthozoa; Malacalcyonacea; Plexauridae
Source: the annotation of a GenBank genome assembly
GCAACUGCAAUUGCCUGACAGUAUUGGUUUGGUGCUAUCUUUUGUAAAAUAUUAGCUUUCCUAAUAUGUCAAACAGUAGUUAAACGAUUGCGCCAAGAUGGUGUGGGCCGAGUUGGUCAGUGGGCCGAGUUGACCAGCUUCCAUAUUUUUAUACUUGUCUCAUAAGGCCAAAAAAAAAAUAUGUGGGUUUCCGGUUUCUUCUUAUAGAAACUUAGGUAGGGUAGGUCGGUUUUAACUUCUUUUUUUUUAAACUUUUUUUUAUUUUUCCGAAUAAGCGGACGCCAUUUUGUUUAGUCAGUGCUUCCACAUCCAAAGAUAAAUUUCCCUAAUAUUGCCUCAAAUUUCAAUUUUUCACAAACUUUUUCCUCUAAGUGGAAACACUUACAAGCAUGAUCCAAUAAAAAAGUUUAGGGUCGGGAUUUCAACGUCCAAAAGCUAGGUAGGGUCGGGAAACCGGAAACCCACAUUUUUUUUUUGGCCUAACUUGAAAAUUUCACAGUUUAAUUCGCCACAGAUAACCAUAUUUAAAUUGUAUUAUCAAAAAUAACUAAAGCUAGCGAAAUUCUGCUAACGUAAGCAACAAUUCAUCGAAUUAAAAUAAGUUAUUUCUCUUAAAUACCUGCAGUAUAUUUGAAAGCGUCUCUUUAUCAGAACAACUCAAAUCUGCCGCCAUCUUGAAUCUAUCCCAGUGUG